GACUCAUUCUAUCCAAUCAACUAGCAACUGGCCUCCAUCAAAUCAUCAUUAAAGCGCAUUUAAUGCUCUGGCCAGAUAACAAGGGAAGAUAGAAGUUUCCAAAAAGAAAUCCCCCAAAACGUUUGUCCGUUACCUUUUGCUUUCCAGAAAACUCUCCCCUUUCCAAAUCAGUCCGAGGUCUAUUGUCUCCUCUGCUCCUCCGCCCGUCGAAUGUAGUUUGAAAUGCCACCUACAAGUCGUCUUCAAUCGUCACACACACUAGUCCUAACCAAAAGCCUAACCACAACGCCUAGACGCAUGCCUGAGCCUCCAUAGCAAACAGAAAAGAAAUUGCUUUGUGGCAGAUGGCCAUAGAAGCCAAGAUUUCCCCCUAUGAGUUCCUUGCCACCACUUCGGAACUGGAUCUUUCCUGAUAGGGGUUAAAAGCCCCAUCAAAGUUUAUCUUAAUGAAUGGAUCGCAAGGGGGUUCCCACAUCUCAUGACCAAUCCUACAGGUAAGAGUUUUCUUUUCUAAACCAUCUAGUUCUCUUAAGUAAUUAAUGGUCCAGUCUGAGAUCUCCUUUCUUGACAUAUUUUUCCUUUCAUACACGAGGCGAUUUCUACUUGUCCAGAGAGCCCAUAGAUCACAACAAAAAAGCCUACAUUGCUCACUGGUGGUAGUUCAAAAAACCUAGGUAAUCCAAUCCCAAGAGUUACCAUCCAAAUUAUUUAAUAUCUAUGAGAGAUUCAAAUUGAGCCAUGUCUUCAUUGUAAUAGGGCAGUCCCGAAAUGUAUGGAUAGAGUCCUCCACAGAAGUACAACACCUCGGACAUUGAGUAUUCACUGCUAUUCUUUUGUAGCUUAGAUUAGCUAAAGUAGGCAUAUAAUUCCAUGAUAGCCUCCAAAUUGUAGUUUUUAUUUUCGGAGGUAUAUGUAAGUUCUAUAGCUUUUUGUAGAAGUGACUAGGAUCUGGUUGUAAAAUAUUAUCAAUAGGAAAUAUAUAUAUAAACGAACAUAAUCGCGAACAUAUAAACAAACAUGUUUGCGAAUGUUAAAUGAA
This is a long non-coding RNA of Gossypium raimondii (Peruvian cotton), 1039 nucleotides long. RefSeq lists it as uncharacterized. The record is from RefSeq and is a predicted model, not a curated record. Lineage: Eukaryota; Viridiplantae; Streptophyta; Magnoliopsida; Malvales; Malvaceae. The transcript is spliced from 2 exons.